UAGUAGAUUGCACUGCUGCGCCUGUAGU
RNAcentral lists this small RNA (28 nucleotides) under Bombyx mori (domestic silkworm). RNAcentral describes it as "ovarian small RNA-22898". The record is from RNAcentral. Lineage: Eukaryota; Metazoa; Arthropoda; Insecta; Lepidoptera; Bombycidae.